AGAGUUUGAUUCUGGCUCAGAACGAACGCUGGCAGCGUGGAUUAGGCAUGCAAGUCGAACGUGAUCCGGAAUGUAGCAAUACAGUACGGUGAAAGUGGCGCAAGGGUGAGUAACGCGUGGAUAAUCUACCUCUAAGUUGGGGAUAACCUUCCGAAAGGAGGGCUAACACCGAAUGUGGUCACUUCACAUAAGUGGGGAGGAUCAAAGAUGGGGAUCUUUCGGGACCUGUCGCUUGGAGAGGAGUCUGCGUGCCAUCAGCUAGUUGGUAGGGUAAUGGCCUACCAAGGCUUACGGCUAGCUGGUCUGAGAGGAUGACCAGCCACACUGGGACUGAGACACUGCCCAGACUCCUACGGGAGGCUGCAGUCGAGGAUCUUGGACAAUGGGGGAAACCCUGAUCCAGCGACGCUGCGUGGAGGAUGAAGGCCUUCGGGUUGUAAACUCCUGUCAUUCGGGAAAAACGACUUUGGGAUUAAUACUUCCAGAGAGUGAUGGUACCGAAAGAGGAAGCCACGGCUAACUCUGUGCCAGCAGCCGCGGUAAUACAGAGGUGGCAAGCGUUGUUCGGAUUUACUGGGCGUAAAGGGUGCGUAGGUGGUCGCUCGUGUCGGGUGUGAAAGCCCACGGCUUAACCGUGGAACGGCAUUCGAAACUGGGUGACUUGAGUACAGGAGGGGAGAGCGGAAUUCUUGGUGUAGCGGUGAAAUGCGUUGAUAUCAAGAAGGACACCGGUGGCGAAGGCGGCUCUCUGGAAUGUUACUGACACUGAGGCACGAAAGCUGGGGGAGCAAACAGGAUUAGAUACCCUGGUAGUCCCAGCUGUAAACGGUGUGCGCUUGGUGUGGGGAGAUUUGACCCUCCCCGUGCCGGAGCUAACGCGUUAAGCGCACCGCCUGGGGAGUACGGUCGCAAGACUAAAACUCAAAGAAAUUGACGGGGGCCCGCACAAGCGGAGGAGCAUGUGGCUCAAUUCGAUGCAACGCGAAGAACCUUACCAGGACUUGACAUGCAGCUGCACGUCCGUCGAAAGGCGGAUUCCUUCGAGGGUGCUGCACAGGUGCUGCAUGGCUGUCGUCAGUUCGUGCCGUGAGGUGUUGGGUUAAGUCCCGCAACGAACGCAACCCCUGUGUUUAGUUGCCACCGCCGCAAGGCGAGCACUCUAAACAGACUGCCUGUACAAAACAGGAGGAAGGUGGGGACGACGUCAAGUCAGUAUGGCCCUUAUGUCCUGGGCUGCACACGUGCUACAAUGGCCGGUACAGAGGGAAGCAAGACCGCGAGGUGGAGCAAAUCCUUAAAACCGGUCCCAGUUCGGAUUGAAGGCUGAAACUCGCCUUCAUGAAGUUGGAUUCGCUAGUAACGGCGUAUCAGCUACGACGCCGUGAAUACGUUCCCGGGCCUUGUACACACCGCCCGUCACAUCAUGAAAGCCGUCUGCACCCAAACACGCUGAGCUAACCCGCAAGGGAGGCAAGUGUCUAAGGUGUGGGUGGUGAUUGGGAUGAAGUCAAAACAAAA
RNAcentral lists this ribosomal RNA (1518 nucleotides) under metagenome. RNAcentral's name for it is "bacterial SSU rRNA". It matches the Rfam family "Bacterial small subunit ribosomal RNA". The record is from RNAcentral.